This is a long non-coding RNA of Macadamia integrifolia, 693 nucleotides long. RefSeq lists it as uncharacterized. Lineage: Eukaryota; Viridiplantae; Streptophyta; Magnoliopsida; Proteales; Proteaceae. The transcript has 3 exons. The record is from RefSeq and is a predicted model, not a curated record.
UUCUUUGCAUUAUCACUUCUUUCAUUAUAUAACUAUUACAAAGAGCAUUUCAUUCUCUUUGCAUCCACACUUCUUUCAUUAUCCAACUAUUAGAGCAUCUCCUUUAUAAUAUGAAAAAAAAUUCGUCUUCUUUUAUCUGCUAGAAUAAAAAUGACCUAUGUUGUGAAUAUAUAUGUGUCAUAUAAUUGAUUCUUUGGUAUGGUGGUAUAUAUAAUGGAGAAGCAUUGCUGUAAUGAAUUGUCCUCUCAGAAAAUAUUGGUGUUUCCACGCUCGCAUUCCACCGCUCCCAAGAGAGCUGAAUAUUUAGAAAUUUGCGCUAUAUGUUCUUGUUCGCGGGACGAUUUUAUGGGGAAUGAAUAGAUUGCAAGAGAUGGUAAACUUCAGCGACUACACUGAAAGGGAUCAAAGGUGGAAGAUAAAUCACAUAGUCAAACUCGGCAAGAUGGGGGCUAAGGGUAAAUAUGACUCAUGACAUAUGUAAUACAUUAUGUUUGUGAUAGGGGAAGACUUGUAACAAGAUAUCUUUUAGACUUUAUCAUGUUCAUUACCAAAAUCAUGUCGGCUAUGGCGAAUCAAUGCCCUAUGGUUGUGCAUUGAUCCCACUAGCUGGUAAGAACCUUUAUUUUGUUUAAGUUUUGGAUAAUCAAUUACGAUAAUUGGUGAUUAUAAUGAAAAAUAGGUUUGGCAUGACUA